Molecule: ribosomal RNA, 243 nt
Filed under: uncultured bacterium
Lineage: Bacteria
Description: partial 16S ribosomal RNA
Rfam family: Bacterial small subunit ribosomal RNA
Source: RNAcentral
CCGGCGCACGGGUGAGUAACACGUAUGCAAUCCACCUGUAACAGGGGGAUAACCCGGAGAAAUCCGGACUAAUACCCCAUAAUAUGGGCGCUCCGCGUGGAGAGCCCAUUAAAGAGAGCAAUUUUGGUUACAGACGAGCAUGCGCUCCAUUAGCCAGUUGGCGGGGUAACGGCCCACCAAAGCGACGAUGGAUAGGGGUUCUGAGAGGAAGGUCCCCCACAUUGGAACUGAGACACGGUCCAA